Molecule: long non-coding RNA, 529 nt
Organism: Rhincodon typus (whale shark)
Lineage: Eukaryota; Metazoa; Chordata; Chondrichthyes; Orectolobiformes; Rhincodontidae
Exons: 5
Source: RefSeq, a predicted model, not a curated record
CUGAUAGCACGUCCCCCACUGGAAAAAACUUCCUUCGCUUCCUGUCAAUUGCAUUUGUGAAACAACUACAAGUGGCCCAUUUUUGGCAUGUUUUUUUCCAUGGGAACAAACUGGAGCCAGACACUGGAUGGACCCACUUGAAGCUAUUGGAAAGGCAGGCAGUGGAAUUGGGCAGGAGACACAAAUGAAGAUUCCUGACAGCGAAUCAAAGUUUAUAGGCAGGUCACACUCCUGAUCCUCAUGCUUGGAAACCAUUAGAAGAAACAUUUUGAGCGAGACAUCAACAGGCUUAUGCUCUGCCAUUGUGACUGAAAACUACCAAACAGAAGUAACAGAAGCAGUGCUGUACCCCUUCCAGAGGCAAGAUGACAUCAAUAUGCACAGAAUCUGGAAGAUUUUCUUCAGACAUUGACUGCAGGGUUAGGAGACUUCCCUGAGGAACCCCUGCAGUAAUGUCCUGGAGCUGAGAUGUCCAGCUUCCAACAACCACAGCUAUCUUCUUUUGUUCCAGACAUGAGCCCAACAAGUG